ACAUUUGAAAUGUAAAUAAAGAAAAUAUCUAAUUAAAAAAAAGGUGAAAAAAGACAUAGUUUGUCCAACAAUGCUAAGAAUCUUAUGUAGAUGGACUGAUUAUAAAUGUACUUAUGAGACUCUGUACUUUGAAUUCUAGUCAUUUUAUGGGCUGGCAAUUUACAGUAUGAUUGAUUCUCUGUUGUGAUGUUUGGCUGUGUCAUGAGAUGGAAUUCAUCAUAAGCAACAUGGCAACGAAAGUGAUUGGUGCUCAGUAUGGUGUGUUGCUAAGCUCUACUCUGUAGGUUAAGUGCAAUAAAUGUAACUUUGAGUUAUAGUAUUCUCAUAGACUGUUGGACACAAGUGGGUCCUAAGUGAGGAAGCAACUUUUUGUCCAACAGUUGAAGACUUAGCAGCUGCUCCAUCCCCCAGUUUAUGAGCUGCAAUAUUUUAAGGUCUUAUAAUUAUGGUUUUGCUAAAUAUUAUCUAUUUCUUCCACAUCUCUACCAUCUGCAUUCUUAUACACAUAUCACUUUUUGAGCUAAAACAAAGAAGCAAACAAAUGAAAAACAGAAAUUAAUUUGAAUUCAGAGGGGGAGACUUUUGCUUAUCCAUAUUGUCAAAUGCCUUGGACUAGGUUCAUUGAAAACUAAAUUUAAGACUGAUUUAAGUGACAAUAAAAUACACAAUGAUUAAAAAUUUGAAGCUUGGGGUCCAAGAGCAUAGACUGUUUGGGUAGAGUACCUGGGUUUCAUUCCCAGCACCCUCAUAGCAGAAUAAAACUAGAUGUAACUUCAGUCCCAGGGGAUACAACACUCUUCUGACCUCUGGAAGCAUCAGGCACACAGAUGGUACAUAGACAAAUAUAUAUAAAACACCUAUAGACAUAAUAACUUUUUAAGAAAUGUUGUACUGUAGCUUCACAUUCUCUAAUUUAUGGUCUUGCCGAAUCCGUGCUCCUGUUGUAUAGACUAAAUCAUCUAGAUCAAUACUUCCUGCCACUCCUUUACAAAAUACAAAAGUAACAUAAUUUCCUUUGUUUAAUAGGGUUUCUCUCAAGGCUGUCUUCUGAGCCUACUCAACUGCAUUAUCCUCUUGAUAAUGACUAUUUUCUCCUACUUUUACUUAAAUCUCUGUCCCUUAAUCAUUCUUCUUCCAAGGCUUUAAAGGAAAGACAAUCCUUUCUUUUAAGGGUCAAUUCAUUUUAUUUUUCAUUAUUAAUGCUCUGCUAUCUCAAGACCCAAGCAUUGUCACCCAAUGUCAAAGGGCUGUCUGUCCUCACAAAGCUAAGUCCUGUAGAAUAAGCAGGUAUCUGCUGCUUUCCUGAAUCAACGAACCCACCUUUCACUAUCUUUCUUAAGCUAUCACAAACAAUAUAAAAGGUAUUCAAAUUCCUAUUGUGCAAAUGUGAUUAUAGAUGAUAACAUGGCCAUCACUUUCUCUGAAAAUAGUUGACUCUUGCUGAAAUGGACAUACAAUUUCCUCUGAAUGAAUAGAUAAAUAAUGGUGUAGAGAGAUACUCAGAAACAAGGGACAAACAAAAACACUGGAAGAUUAGAGACCAGGAAGCUUUGGUAAGGGAUUCACAGAUUUAUUUCCUAAAUUUGUAUAGAACGUAAGGGAAUCCAUGCUCUGAAUGGAUGCUCCCUAGGGCUAUCAAGUCUCUUAGUAGUCACACGAGCAAUACAACAAUCUACCACCUGUGUUGCUAUUAUUUGCCUCUUCUCAUUAUCACUUCACCUUAGAAAAAUGGACUUCACAGAGAGGAAGACACAGCAUGAAGUCAGAAACAUAGAUGUCUCACUAGGCUGAACCUGCUGAGGACUACAUCUGCCAUCAACAGAAACGACACCACAAAAGACUCAAAUCCCAGGGCUCUAACUGAUAACUAAUAUCAGCUGUGCUAAUCUUCAUGACCAACCCUGGACUCUCCGGUGGCCUGAAAGGAACAACUUCCCUGAGGCUGGAUGACUUGUGAGCUUAUCAACAGAGAUUUGAUUUACAGUUCUGUUGCUUCACUCUCAAAACCUCUUGAGCUCUGCUGUAGCCUCUUUAAUUUGUGUUAAUUUUGGAAAUCAUGUAUCUGCAUAAACAUGUGUAUGUAUUUACUGUGUGCUGCACGGCAUGAGAUGAUAUUAGUAAGAUUGAAAAGUUUUCAAAAGACUAUGUUUGCUGCAUUCAGAUUGCUAAAGUAGUUGGGAUUAUCUUACAAAUUAGAGUCACUAUAGUUUGCUAAUUUAUUGUUAUUCAAUAAAUCCUGACAUUAAUAAAAUCACAGAUGUCUCCAUCUAUGUCUGUGUCAUUGUGCAUUCACAA
Molecule: long non-coding RNA, 2295 nt
Organism: Mus musculus (house mouse)
Lineage: Eukaryota; Metazoa; Chordata; Mammalia; Rodentia; Muridae
Product: predicted gene, 31860
Exons: 2
Source: RefSeq, a predicted model, not a curated record